CCUUGAUGUGCCGCGUAAGCAAACAUUUCCACAACAGUAUGAGAAAAUGGAUAAUAAUAUGUAUAAAGUACUUAGAACAUGUUUUUCAUUCAGAAAAAAUCAAGUCUGAGAACUCGAAUCAAGGAAUCCUAGCAUUCCGUAUCCAAGGCAGUUGUUCCUCCAAGAAUAAAGAGGAUAAUUAUGGCAAGAGCCUAGAGUUUUAACGUUUCUGAACAAAUGUAUCAUAGUAAAUGACUCAAGAUGAGAACUAAUAACAUUUAACACAUGUUAUGUGCAUUUAGUGACCAACAUUUAGCCAAUGCCCCUUGAUGCCUUAGCACUUCCUCAUUGACCAGCUAGAAAGUUGCCCAAACUUUUCAUAAAUGAAAAUACACUUCAGUGUGAGGGGACAAAAACGGCAUUCGGAAAAUAAGUAGUUACCUCUUUGGCUCUUUCAAGAGCUACUUCUGAUAUAUCCAGGCCAACAACAUAGCGAUCAGGGCAGGCAAUUGCCACGACGUCAUAGCCCUGCAGCAGACAAAAGCCCAUUGAUAAGUCAAGGAGAAAAGAAAGAAGAACAGAAAGGAACGACUUUGGACUCACAACCAGUAUAGAAUUAAAACUAAGCUGCAGAACACCUACGCCAACUUUUGUACCACCCAAAACAGAAAAUGUGAAAAAAAAAAGAAUAAAUUUUAUGUGGAUUUCCAAGAUGAUCUCCACCAUUCCUUAGUACAGACUCUUGAUUACAAAUGUCAACUGGGUGAAUUUACUAAAAGCAAGCAAACAUGCAGCAUAAAAAUGAAACCUGCAGUAUGGUGAAGUCAAAAGAACCUUGAUUUCUUUUCUUCCUAUAGUCACUGCCAUGUUCAAAAACCUGGAUCACCUAAUCCCCAUAGCACAAGGGUACCAUGGUGCUGUAGUGCAUGGGAUGAAGCGCACUUCAUUGAGCGGAUUGCAUUUAAUGCAUAAAAUCUGAAAUUUUCCUCUACAUAGCUAUUCUGCAAUAAAAGCACUUAACUAAUCUACCAAUGUUCUCAGCAUGAUAGCAAACCAAAGAAGACAGAGUGACAGUAAACUUGUAGCUACUCGUUCAAUAAAUAUUGUGUUCACAACGCACCUGAAGCAGUAAACUUGUAGCUACCUGGCAAUAGUGCAUGGACCCAAAAGCAACCAUAUUGCAGUGAUUUAUACAAUCAUGAAAUCUUGAACAAAAGUUAACCAAGGCAGGCAAUUUACAGCCAUGAACCCAAACGUACAACAAUUGAAUCCAACAAGCAUGUGCUACACUUCUAAGCAUCAGUUCCAAUCCAUAAACCCAAUUGCAGAAAUCCCAGAUACGCAAAAGAGGAAAAAUUAGAACUUUAAACUAGUAGGAUAAUACUCACACUACCACAACCAGGGACCAAAGCCCUGCCAUUAGGAAGGGCACCAGUCUUAUGAAGAUGGACAAGAAUUGGGGUAGGCUGCCCCAAGUCCCAUGGUGUCAACCCUUGUUCCCAGCACUUUUGCCAACCAUCUACCCACUCUCCAAGAAAACCCAAUAUUUAAAAAAAAAAACAGAAAUCUUGAAUCAGCAUUAUGAUCAGGAAUUAUUAAGUCCAAAGAUGAUUGGUCUUGAUGAAAAUAAUUACCUGUCGAGCUAGAAUGGAUGACUUGUUGGAAUUUAUCAACUGUAGUAGAACUAGAUGAUGAUGAUGAAAGAAGAGUUGAACUUGUGCUAGUAAUUGAUCUAUUGUGGGACUUUGUAGCAUCUAUUUUUGGGUUCAUCAUCGUUCUCAGAGGAGGUGAUGAGCUGGAAGUGGAAGUGGAAGUGGAAGUGGAAGUGGAAGCGGGUGCGAGCAACCUCGGCCAGCAGCAGGAGAUGAGGCUGACGCUAGAGGAGCUUCUCAUAUUUUCUCGCCGAUUGCUUCCCCCUUCAUUUUUUUAAAUUGAAAAAUAGAUUAUAAUUUGAAAUAAAUAAAUUAAAAAAAAAAAAGCUUAUUACGGGAAGAGGGGGAGUAUUGAUCACCUCACAUAUCAUAUCCUUAUCCUUAUACUUCCUUAUCCUUAUACUAUAUAAGAACGAGUUUAGGACAAAGAAGGUUUUAGAUUUCAACUGCAAGAGUUAUCAAUAUCAUAUUAUACUACUAAUCAAGCCAUCAUAUCAAUAUCUAUACAAUAUAAAUUAGUGUUGGAGUUUGGAAUUAGUGUUGGAGUUAAUAUUUAUCGUCAUUAUAUAAAUUUGCAUUUUUACUCAUAUAAAAACUACUUUUACUUUAACUAUAUAUAACUGUCUAUGACUAUUUUUACUUUUAAUUAUUUAAGUAUAUGUUUUCAAUAUAACUACUGCUAAAUAUUAUAACUACUAAUAUAAAAUUAUUUUAUGAAAAAUAUUUAAAAGAUUAAAGUUUGCUUCAGUAAUAAAAAAUUUAUUUAAUGAGCAUAAAUAUUAGUAUGUAUUUUUUAUUGCACACACAUUGGGUGGGCAAUCAACACUAACAUAAAUCAAAGGUCCUUAUCGUAUUUAGGGCUUGAGUUUUGGUCUAAUUGUGAGAUUGACUUAAUCUUACCAAACUCAAACUCGAGCCCUCUAAUUGAGCUUAAAAAAAUAAUUGUUAUAUUUAUAAAAUAGACAUUUCAUCUUAAUAAAUAAUAAAAAUAUCGGGAACAUAUAAGUAAUUUCACUACUAAUAAAAAAAAUAAAUAUGUAAAGGUUCAUCGAACUAGCAAAUCAAACAUAGAGAGGUUCAACUUGUGUCACUAGGUUUGUCAAGCCAACUCCAAUUACUCAUCAAUCAUUUUCUUCAACUCCAAUUAUUGUAUAUGUAUGAAUUAUCUCCAAUUAUUAUAUUCUUAUGUGUGAUAAUUAAAGUUAACUAUAUUUUAUAUACAAAUUGGUUUGGAAGAAAUUCAAAAUUAAUAAGAAGACAAAAGGUUAUAAAAAGCUAAUGAGAAAGCAAACGAUUAAAUUAACGAUUAAAAUCACUAUAUUAUGUCAUAUUAACUAAGAAAACUUCAAAAAAAAUUAUCUAUAAUUAUAAAAAAUAUAAUAGAAAAGGUUUACAAUUACUGGAAUUAAUAAGAAUUUGUUGCAUCAAAGUCAGAAUGUUUUAGUAUGUAUUUUGCUCAGGUUUUGUUGUAUACACUGGUUUGACUAGAACUGUAAACGAACUGAAUUGAACCGAGUAUCUCAUGUUUGAGUUCUGUUCGUUAAGUGAUUCGAACAACGUUCGUGUUCGUUCGUUAAUUUUAGAGCUCCAAACCUAUGUUCGUGUUCGGCUCGUUAAGCAAAAUUUGUGUUCGAGUUCGAGUUCGUGUUCGGCUCGUUUAACAUAAACGAGCUGUUUGCGAACAUGUUUCAAAUACUCAAAUCCAAAUUAUUUUAAAUCUUAAAUAUGCCAUGCAAAUCAUUAAUCAUUUUCAAAAACAAUUAAAGCACUAAGUGACUAAAUUCUAUUAUCUAUUAACUAUAUAACUAACAUUAACAUAAAAACAACAAAUAAAACAAAAUAAUUUGUCCUCCAAAUAUAAAAGUCCAGUCAUAAAAUUAAUCCUAAAAUUUGUCAAAUGAUCGGGUUUGUUUGGAUUGUGAAUUAUUAGAGAUAUUUUUACUGUACCACUUUUUGUGAUGUAAUGUAUGUGAGAUAAAAAGGUAAUUGGAAAGAUAAAAAAGUGUGUUGAAAAUUGUAAUGAAGAUGUCAGCAAAUAUAUUUUAACAAAUAAACUGCAAUCCAAACAUAAUUAUGUUCAUGUUCACGAACGUUCGUUAAAACUCACGAACAUACUCGCGUUUGCGAACGUCGUUUAGCAUGUUCGCGAACGUUCGUUAAAACUCGCAAACAUGCUCGUGUUCACUCGAUUAUUAAUCGAACAAAAAAAUUCGUUCGAACUCGGUUCGUUUAAGGUUUCGAACGAGUCUUUCACGAACACGAACGAGUCGAAACGAACCAAGCUACCGAACAGCUCGAUUCGUUUAACAGCUCUAGGUUUGACACAAUAUAUUUUGUUUAUUAUAUAGUUUAUUAGUCAAUAUUAUACCAACAACUUAGGUUAAAUAUGAUAAUCUUCCAUUUUCAGAAUUUUUACAACUAUAGAAUGUACAAUAAACUUUUAAUUACUUUGCACACAAUAAACACUUUGUUCAACUACCAAUUGCUUAAUUUUGUUCAUUAUACAGUUUCUUAGCUUAUAUUACACCAAUAAUCAAGGUUUUACACAGAAAUUUAAUUUAUAUUAAAGAUUAAUAUUUUGAAAAAAUAUAUUCACGUGUGGGUUAUUACUAGUAAACCACACAGGGAACAAAGCAAUAGGGUCGGUUGAAAACAGCAAGAAAACUGGUAAUUCUAAAAGCAGCUCUGGAUUUUGCCUCAGUCUAGCUACUGGAUUCGGUUUUGCCUCAGUCUAGCUACUGGAUUCGGUUUUGCCUCAAUCUAGCAACUGGACGCGGAUCCAAAGCAAUGCUUCAGACAUCUCUGAUGAUGUUGGCAUUAUACUCUUCAGGAAUAGCUUUUGAUUUCUGCAUCUCCAGAGUAAGCAGGUUGUGGCAGCAACAACCACACUUUAACACACAGGAGACAAAAGUUAUUCCGAGCACAGUGAGUUACCUGCCAAUCAAUGCCCCAGACUACCCUUCAGCUUUCUUGCAAUUCAUACAUUUCCUUGGACACGAGUCCAAACAGCAGCUGAAAAAGGAAACAUGAAAAUGCAUGUUGCAGAACAUUUCUCCGCCCCCAAAUAACUUGCUGUACUUGUGAAAUAAUAUCCAUGUUACACAGCCUGCAUUGAUCAUGACAAGUUUAGAUUUAAAUGCUUGCAAAUUCAAUACCAAAACUACAGAUUUCCAUCAGCGAAGCAAAAGAAGCACUGGUAUGUAAAACUUCCAGUAUAACUGGAUAGAACUUUAUUUACUGCAUCCUUCUAUUUGGUUAUCUUUGAGAAGCCACUAGAUUCCUAACAUAAAGCAGUGUUACGCUUCCUAACUGAAAUGCUUCUUUAGGCAAAUGGAAGGGAAGACACUAGCCUAACCUAGUUUGGAAGUCUAUUAGAUAUACCAGAAAAUAAAAUAUAAAAAAUAAAAAUGAUAAAGAUAAAAACAAAUACUUGUCAGAUAGGUUGAAAUUAGUCCCCUUUUUCACUAGUUACAACCCUGCUUAAAUCUUGGGUUACAUCAUAAGUUAUAGUGACUUUUCAGUUUUAAGCUAAAGAUGUACCCUACCCAGGAUAAUUGGUAAUGAACUUCAUAAGGUAUCUAUACAUAAUCCAGAGGCCAUCCAACUAUCUACAUGUAUUAUUAGGUAUCAUAAGAAAAAGUUAUUAGGGGAGGAAUCUCAAACCAUCGAGUUAAUGGUAGCAGGUUGUGAAACUAGCAUUCAACAAAUGACAUUGCUGGUAUCCCCAGUUGUCUAAAGCCCCCCCCACCCUCCCCCACACACACACAAAAAUUUUUUAAGGUGAGGAAAGGAAGAAGGAAGAGCAAAUAAUUUUCAGAAAUUUGAGGCCAAGAGGAAAGGGAACCUCUGUAGGCUCCCUUGUGUACCUGCUGACUUCUAUAAGUGGAAGAUGAUCAUUAUCAGGCUUCUCUAUUACAUUUUGAACCUGCAAAUUAAGAAAGUAAUAUAUUAGGAAUGACUUAAAUAACUUAUCACUCUCAUUAGUCACGUAAAAGCAUCUUAAAUUAGUUUUGCCUGAUGCAUAAAGCAUAUGUUCACUUCCUCAGACAUAUAUGGCGUGUUCUCAUGUUUGAAUAAAUUUCGUCCCCAUUAUGUCAUUGGAGAAGUGCUGGAAUCCCCUCAGUGGAGGAACUGUAUUGAGCAAUUUGGCAAUCAAGUUAUCAACCAUGACAAUGAUCAAUAGAUAACCCAUGUUCUAUUCCUGACUUUUAAAGAUUAUAAACCCCAAGUCAGUCUAAGACCAGUAAAAUUGUAGCUUUAGCAUACAAUCAACCAUCAUGGGAUAGCUAAAUCAAGCCUGAAACUGACAAGUUGAAGCAAACUUAUUGACUUACAAACUAUUUAAAAGAGGUGCUUCAAUGCUGAAGCUGUACCCAGGAUACUCCAGCACAGAAAAAGCCAGAGUAAAUUCUCUAGUUUAUCUAGUACUAACAAAAGUUCCUUACAGAGAUUUUUCAGUGUCAAACUUUUGUACUUCCUGCAAUUUUGGACCAACUUUUCAUCCCAUAUUUCAAUGUAAUGAACCAGAUGAUAUGAGGUGAUGGUGGUCAUGAAGGUAAGGCCAUCAGGUGAUAAGAUGAAACAUAUGCAUGUAUUCUUUGUAGCUUUACAGAAAACAAGAGCCUUGACCCAGUGUAAUAACCAUGAAGGCGCACUCUACAUGUGUGCAACAACAACAAAAGUGAAAUCACCUUUUAAUGACCAAAUAUACUAAAUUAUGGCAAACUUUGGCUCAUACAAGGAUUUGCAACUAUUAAGAGAAUAUAAGUAUUCUUGUAGAUAAUAAAUUAGUAAGGGUAUUUUUGUAAAUAGUUUGUUAGGGUUGUACUCCUAUAAAUACUAGUUGGUCACUCAUAAUAUAGUGACUAGAUGUUUUCCUCCCAAGAUACUUGUUGACAUGGUAUCAGAGCAAAAGUCCUAGGGUUAGGGUUAAACAUCUAGCAAAAGUUUUGGUCAUCGCGACUGUUCACGCGAUACUGUUCACCGCGACUGUUCACGCGGGAGCACUGUUCAUCGGGGGUACUGUUCACGGCACUGUUCACAGCACUGUUCAUGGCACUGUUCACGCUGCUGUUCAUCUCGAGUUUUGACCCUUCGUUUGGUUUGGAGUGCUUUCGCUAUGGCUGAAAGUCUAUCAAAAGGUAUUGUGACGUCUACUAAUAUUAUGCCAAUGGUGAUGCCUCAAAUCACAAAUUGGAAGUUGAAUGACACUAAUUAUCAACAGUGGUCAAAAGUCGUUAAGAUUUAUCUGACAGGCUUAGGAAAGCAACGAUAUCUCACAGGUGACUCUCCUACGGAGGACAACAAGAAACUAGUGUGGAUUCAAGAUGAUGCCCAAAUUCUUGGAGCAAUAUGGAAUUCUAUGGAGCCACGAAUUGCUUACAUGUGUUCUCAUUGUGAGACAACAAAAGAAGUUUGAGAUUAUGUCCGGUUAUUAUACUGUAGUAAUCUUUCACGGAUGUAUGAUAUUUCUUUGGAGUAUUUUCAGUUGCAACAAGAUAACAAGACAGUAACUGAAUACUUUGCUGAUCUGAAGCGAGUUUCAGAAGAAUUAAAUGCCGUAAUGUCUCUCUCAAGUGAUAUUACAGUUAUGCAGAGGCAAAGAGAACAAAUGCUUGUGCUCAAAUUCUUGGCCGGUCUCAAAUCAGAAUUUGAACCAAUCAAAUCUCAAAUUUUAGCAGGUGAACAAUUACCAUCCUUUGCAGAGGCAUAUGCUCGGGUCUUACGUUCUGCAUCUAAGGACAAAGCACAGGGUGAUGGUGCUCUAAUUAAUGACAAAUCUGCGUUAGUUGCUAACAAUGGUCGGAUAGAGCAACUUAACUUGGGACGUGGCUCUCGUGGAGGAAGAAGUAGAGGAGGUCGUGGGGGUCGUGGAGGUCGAGGCACCCGUGAGUGCACUCAUUGUGGUUUGAAGAAUCACACUCAUGAUACUUGUUGGGAUUUACAUGGAAAACCAACCGCGCUCAUUGUGGUUUGAAGAAUCACACUCAUGAUACUUGUUGGGAUUUACAUGGAAAACCACCUCGAUUUGCUAAUGCGGUUACCAUUGACCAAGCUGAAUCAAGUUCUUCAGCACAAGGGUCCCAGAAAACUGUUACCAUAUCCGAGGAAGAUUAUGUCAAAUUUCUGCAGUACCAAACUGCAAAUCCCGCAUCUCUUCCCUCUGCUUCUUUAGCACAAAAAGGUAAUGCUAUGGCUUGUCUCUCCACUUCCAAAAAUUUUGACUCAUGGAUCAUUGAUUCCGGAGCUACUGAUCAUAUGUCAGGUACCUCUAGAAAUUUUUCUAAUUUUCAAGAGUCUACUUCCUUCUCUCAUGUUACUUUAGCUGAUGGAUCUACAACUAAAGUUAAAGGAUUAGGCACUGUAGAAAUUAACCCAUCUCUUCCGCUGCCUUCUGUUCUUUACGUACCAAAUUUGCCUUUUAAUCUAAUGUCCGUUAGUAAGCUUACCAAAUUUCUACAGUGUUCAGUUAUUUUUUCUCCUGAUUUUGUUGUUAUUCAGGAUUCGAAGACAAAGAGGACGUUUGGUGGAGGGCGCGAGCAUAAUGGUCUUUAUUUUCUCAACUCUAAUGGUCCGAUUGCGUGUCCUGCUACUGUUUCUCCUCUUGAAAUUCACUGUCGUUUGGGUCAUCCGUCUCUACAAAAUUUGAAGAAGUUGGUUCCUACCUUGAGUCAGUUGUUUUCAUUAGAAUGUGAGUCUUGUCAAUUAGGAAAGCAUCAUCGUGUUUCUUUUGCCCCUAGGGUCAAUAAACGGGUUUCGGAACCCUUUUUGUUAGUUCAUUCUGAUGUUUGGGGUUCUAGUCGAGUCACUUCAAAGUUAGGUUUUAAAUAUUUUGUAAUCUUUAUUAAUGAUUUUUCAAGAGUUACAUGGCUUUAUUUAAUGAAAGAUCGUUCAAAACUAUAUUUCAUUUUUUGUGCAUUUGUUACAGAAAUAAAGAAUCAAUUUGGUGUAUCUGUACGUAUACUUCGCAGUGAUAAUGCGAAAGAAUAUUUUUCCAUUCCUUUUAAUACCUUCAUGACUAAGUCCGGUAUUAUUCAUCAGUUCUCUUGUCCUCACACUCCACAACAGAAUGGAGUUGCUGGAAGAAAGAUUGGACACUUAAUCGAGGUUGCUCGGACACUUAUGUUGCACAUGAAUGUGCCCAAACAAUUUUGGAGUGAUGCAGUUCCAACUGCAUGUUAUUUAAUUAAUCGCAUGCCAUCUACUAUUCUUGGAGGCCAAUUACCUCACUCCAUUCUUUUUCCUCAUGAACCUGUGUUUAAAUUACCUCCUCGUAUUUUUGGAUGUGUGUGCUUUGUUCAUCAGCUUGCUCUCGGGGUGGAUAAAUUAGAUUCUCGUGCUAUUAAGUGUAUUUUCUUAGAAUACGCAUGAGCGCAAAAAGGGUAUAGAUGUUACAGUCCAGUUUUAAAUCGAUUUUUUACUUGUGCUGAUGUUUUUUUCUUUGAAUCCACUCCAUAUUUUAUCAAACAAAGUAUGUCUUGUGAGUUAGACCAGUGUCACUCUUUUUCCUCUCCUGUUUUACCAGUCCCUUCCCCUUUAUUACCUGAAUUAUCUAAUCCACCAGAUUCCAUAGCUCGAUUAUCUCGUCCUCAUCUUCAAGUUUACUCUCGUCGUCCCAUGGUUGAGAAAGUUCCUGAUAUGCCACGCACUUCACCAAUUAACUCUCACUCUUCAAAUCGAGGUAUGACGUCCUCCUCUGAGUUAGAUCUUCCUAUUGCUUUACGCAAAGGUAAGAGACAUUGUACUUCCCAUCUUAUUUCUAAUUUUGUUUCUUAUUCUCAUCUCUCUAUGUCAUAUUCUUCUUUUGUUGCUUCCCUUGAUUCUAUCUCCAUUCCUAAGUCUAUUACCUAUGCUCUUACUCAUCCUGGUUGGAGAUUAGCCAUGCAAGAAGAGAUGUCUGCUUUGGAACAAAAUGGUACUUGGGAUCUUGUCCCUCGUCUUUCAGGUAAGCCUGUUGUUGGUUGUAAAUGGGUGUACACUAUAAAAGUGCAGUCUAAUGAUUCUAUUGAUAGAUUAAAGGCUCGUCUGGUAGUUAGAGGAUUUACUCAAGUGUAUGGAGUGGACUACUUAGAAACAUUUUCUCCUGUUGCAAAAAUUACCUCUGUUCGUCUUCUUAUCUCUUUGGCAGCCACUUAUAAUUGGUCAUUGCAUCAAUUGGAUGUGAAAAAUACAUUUCUGUAUGGAGAUUUGGAAGAAGAGGUAUAUAUGGAACAACCUUCUGGAUUUGUUGUUCAGGGGGGAGAAUCCGCGGUUGGUUUGUCGUUUGAAAAAAUCCUUAUAUGGAUUGAAACAGUCUCCGAGAGCUUGAUUUGGCCGGUUUAGUAGUGUUAUCAUGGAGUUCGGUCUGACAAGAUGUGGAGUAGAUCAUCUGUAUUUUAUCGGCAUUCUAAUGCUGGUAAAAUUUUAUUAGUUGUUUAUGUGGAUGACAUUGUGAUUACAGGUGAUGAUGUUGUGGGGAUCCAGAAGCUUAAAUCCAAUAUGCAGGCAAACUUUCAGACAAAGGAUUUAGGUCAUCUACAGUAUUUUCUGGGUAUUGAGGUAGUUCGGUCUAAAUAUGAAAUUUAUUUAUGUCAAAGGAAAUAUGUACUCGAUAUGUUGAGUGAAGUUGGGAUGUUAGGUUGCCGACCUGUGGAUACUCCUAUGGAUCCCAAUGUGAAAUUAGCAGGAGAUCAAGGUGUAUUACUUGAUGAUCCUAAGCAAUAUCGAAGACUUGUGGGUAAAUUAAAUUAUCUCACUGUAACGAGACCUGACAUUUCGUUUGCAGUGAGUGUUGUGAGUCAAUUUCUUGAUACCCCUCGUACUAGUCAUUGGAUGCUGUUAUACGGAUUCUCAGGUAUCUUAAGAGUGCUCCUGGAAAAGGGUUGCUGUAUCAAAAUCAUGGACACACUGAUAUUGAAGGAUAUAGUGAUGCAGAUUGGGCUGGUUCUGCCUCAGAUCGAAAAUCGACUACAGGAUAUUGUGUGUUUGUUGGUGGUAAUUUAGUGUCGUGGAAGAGUAAGAAGCAAACAGUUGUAUCCAGAUCAAGUGUAGAAUCUGAAUAUCGCGCUAUGGCUCACACUGUGUGUGAGUUGGUUUGGUUGAAGAGCAUGUUAUUUGAACUUGGGUUUGAGCAUAAACAGCCUAUGAAUUUAGUGUGUGAUAAUCAGGCGGCUGUUCAUAUUGCGUCUAAUCCAGUGUUUCAUGAAAGGACAAAACAUAUUGAAGUUGAUUGUCAUUUCAUUCGAGAGAAAUUGUUUGACGAGGUCAUCAAGACAUCUCAUGUACCGUCUAUAGAUCAAUUGGCUGAUGUGUUUACCAAGAGUUUAGGGGGCUCUAGGGUGAAAGACCUUUGUAACAAGUUGGGUGCUUAUGAUAUAUAUGCUCCAACUUGAGGGGGAGUGUUAAGAGAAUAUAAGUAUUCUUGUAAAUAAUAAAUUAGUAAGGGUAUUUUUGUAAAUAGUUUGUUAGGGUUGUACUCCUAUACAUACUAGUUGGUCACUCAUAAUAUAGUGACUAGAUGUUUUCCUCCCAAGAUACUUGUUGACAGCAACCUAUAUCAUGGCUUCCUUUUUUCCAUUUUUGACAUCCCAGUACAUCGUAUUUGUAGGAGAAAAUUUGUAUAACAUGUAGCGCUUCUUCCUAAAAAUCACAAAUGAGAAAAUUCAAGAGAGAUCAUAAAGGUGAGACAAAAAACAUUUUUGCCUGUUGUCUCACAUUGUGGCGAUUCUACCAACUUCAAAGACAACCAAUUGCAAGUAAAAGAAUAAAUUUUUUUAUUAAAAAAAAAAGGAGAGAUGAGCAAAAGCAGAAGGAUAGAGAAGAAACACAGAUACCGAAAAGAAAAUACUAAUUAAGCAAAGACAGUAACUCUUACUUUAGCCAAUAACUCCUGACUCUCAGGAGGUUGCUUUUUCAAACUUUGAGGCAAUAUAACAGUGAGAAGCUCUGGUUUUUCAGCACGAAGAGCACCUCUAAUAACAGCAGCAUUAGUUCCAGAUGCUCCAGAUGUGAAAAUAUGGUUCUUCUGGAAAUAGAAACAGAAGAGUAUACUAAUUACACCAUACUCAUUCUAGCUGAAAGGACAAAAGGAAUGACCAACUCAACAGCCUGAAAUAGUCGACUAUCAUUUCAUGAAUUGGUUCAAGCUACAGAAUACCGUUAUGACCAAUGCAUAGCUGAGAAUUUCAAUAAGUUCCUGAUGCAUGAAUCCCAUAUUUCUUGUCCCAAAGAACCCAAUAGCCCUUGGGCCUUGUUGUUGAAUUGCUAGUAACUCCUAAGAACACAAAAGAAUAUUCACAUAAGUUGUUGUGAAUCUACAAAAGCAUUGAAGAUGUUAAGACAUUCAUAUCAACCUUCCAACACAAUCUAAAACCUGAAGACUCGACAAACCCGCCAGAAGUUCAAUGAUACCAAGAGGAAAUGAGUAAUUAGUUAUAAUCAAGUUUGUCUCUUUAUCUUUCUGAUUUAUUUUCUGCUCACUAAGGUGAAUACUUAAAGUUGAAGCAAAAGGGCCUUUACCCAAGUAAUGAUUACUUGAAGUUGAAUACUCAAAGUUGAAGCAAGAGGGCCUUUAUCAAACUAGUGAAAGAAACUCUCUUAUGUAGCCUUUCGAAAGGUACUUCUAUUGUGAGGAUUUGCAACUUACAAACAAAUGGAAAUUUUGAAAACCUAAACACUGAAAGUGUAAAUGCUUUGCCAAUAGUUUAUAUUGACAUCCUAUCUAACCAAUUCUUCUGUUGAAAUGAGUCAAGUAAUUUAUCCACACAUAGGCAUGAAAACUAUCUAAGGUCAUUCUGCAUGCUCUCUUGCCUAAAGUAUGGCAUGCUUGAAAGAUUACAAUGCAAAACGGUGAUCCCAUUAGAGGUACAUGGAAAGUAAGUAACAAAAAAUUGUUGAUACUGUUUAAGUGGUGUAAAGAAAAAUUGUGGUCAAAACUUCUUGCCAUCUGAACCUCAGUUUGCACAUUAAAUAUACUAAACCUGUAUGUAGUCCACAUCAGGGGCAGGCUUGUACUCAGACAGCAGAACUGCUCCUGACCCUUCAACAAUAGAUUGGGCUUGAGUUGGAAUCUGAGUUUUGACCUCUUCAUCAGAACCAUACAUUUGCACCCGAUGAUCAUCUUCAUCUCUCACGCCCUCAGAACCUUGAUGUCUUUUCUCAUAUCCAUAAAGCCACUAUAUCAGCACAUAUAAAAGAGAGUUCCCUGGUAGUAAAUCAUUAGUGAAAACCAACUGAUGCGUGUAAAGAAAUAAGAGAAGCUCAAGCUUGCAAGAAUAGCAUUUCUAAUGAGAAAUUCUCAGUUUUCAAAAGCAAAGUUGUUUGAGAAAACUUGUUAAAACCACUAAACUACAAAGAAAAUUAAUGCGUUCUACACCCAAGCACCCUCAGCAAAGUGCAUUUGUCAUGUAAGACCAAUAAUCGGUCACAAUGUAAAGUUAGUCAUUCCAUUCUAGUUGCUAUUAAACCAUGGAUCAAGUAUGCCAUCAUGACAUAACAUAAGUUUGCAGCAACUGGCUCAAAUAUCCUUACCAGGAAUAGAAAACAAAAUCUCUCUUUUCAAACAGCCAACGGGAUACUUGCAACUCCGGCACAAACUGCACUUAUACCUAAUAGUCUGACAGAUAACUAUCUAACAGCCUAAAUUUUUUUCCCCAUUUUGUAAAUAUAUUUCGGCUUACCUGAGUUUCUCUAAGGGGAUGUGGUCUAAGCUCAAGGCAAAGAGGGCAGCCCGGGUGUACCACAACCCGAGUAGGCACCUUGAAAAUCCCCACUCCACCCCCACUCCCCAUAAACUCCGGCAAUGGUUGGUAGUUCUGCGGCGGAUGCUGAUGCUGAUAUUGUACGUAUUCCUCAGAGCCACCACCAUCCCCCAUUGACAAUCCAUCAAUCCUAUGAUUAAUAUUAUAGUCCGCGUUACAAGAAGCAGAGCCAACAGUGGUGGAAUAGGGGUAGAAAUCAUCAUCAUCAUCAUCAGAUGAAUUCUCCAAGAAAUAGCUGUAACUAUUACUGCUGGCAAUGCCGAUGGUUUUAGCAUCAUCUAAGCUGUGUUUUCGCACUUGGCGAUGUUUCUUGUGAUGUGAUCCUGUGCUUGUACGCAGUUGUUGGCUAUAUGAUUAAGUUUUUUCGGGCACAGGCGGGAAGUUUGAUAAUCCUGCCAAUGCAUCCCUGUCGUCGUCCUCCAAGCCACGGUCGUCCAUUUUGUUUCCUUUCUCAAAUUAUGGAUACAACAUCUGAGAAUGAUUGCUAGUGUUCUUGCAGGGAUGAGAUGAUCAAAAUCCAAGAGAAAAGGCUUGAAAACUUGCGGAGAGAGAGAGAGAGAGAGAGAGUGGAGGAGAAAAUGUCAACAAGUUUGGAAGUGGGGAUAGGAAAGAUUGCAUGGGAGUGCGAGGAUUGACGCGGGGCAUUCUGGUUUCAUACGGACGAGAACGUCAAACGUUGUUGUUUCUGUUCUUAUAUUUUUGGCUCCCAUUCCCAGGUUGAGUUGUAAAGUUUCAUGGUCGUGGGGACUUCCAUUCCAUUUUUCUCUUUGUCGAGCCCUUUCACUUUAACUCUGGGAUGGAUCGUGCCUAAUGAGCCGGGCAUUUAUAAGUUCGAGUUCAACUUAUUUAAUUUGUAACAUCUUCGGAAUUCGGAUUUUGGAUUAUGAGUUUCAAAUUAAUAAAUAUGAAGUCAUAUCCAACUCACAUAAUAUUCGAAUUUAGUUCAAAUUCACUUAUUACUCCUUAAUUUUCUUAAUAUAAUUACUAUAACUAUUAAGUUGUACAACUAUACAAGACUACAACAUUAAAACUAAAUAUGAAUAAGUAAUAGUUUUUAAAAAGCAUAUAAAUCAAAAAAUUUUCAACAAUAUUUAAAUCUAAUUCAUUCAAAAAAACAUGAAAAAUAGUAAUAAAACAUGUGGUCAUAAAUCAAUAUAUUUUUAAAGGUUGGAACUUCUUUAUAACCUUGUGAUUUGAAUCCAAAUAUGCUUGAUGAUUUGUGUUUUUAGAUCAAAAAUAAAUCAACCGAUAUUAUACCAACACAAAAAUUUACUCAACUAAUAAAAAAAGUUAAUAUUCAUUUACGUAUUACUGAUAUUGGCUCUCAAGAAAGCUAGUAGAAGAACUUUCAGAUAUAUUUUAAUUAUAUUUAGCAUUUAAUAAAACAUUUGGAUGUAAAAUUAUACAUAAUAUCAAAAUAUAAAUAUUAUAUAUAUAUGUAAGUAAUUAAAGGACCGGACCUAUAUCGAGUUUGAGACUAAUAAGGCCCAAACUCGACUCAUAUUUAAUUUGAGCCGGACUCAUAUUUAAUAGGUCGGCUCAUCAAGCUUUUUCUCGAGCCAAGCAAGCCGAGUAUGGACUAGCCCGACCCCAUUGACAGUCCCACUUUGGGAUCGAUCAAGCCCUAAUAUAUACUAAUGGUGAAUUCAUUCAUAAAUACUGCAAUUCUUUGACAUAAUAAUAAUAAUAAAAAAAAAAUUAAUAAUACACGUCUAAUAGAUUUGAUUGUAUAUAUAAACAACAAAGUGGUGUACAACCGUGGAAGCCCACCGUACAAGUAGACACAUUUGCAGAAACCAUAAGACCAGCUACCAAGUGGAAAUAUGAUCAAUUCUUGUUCAUUUUCACCAAUUUUUUUCAUUAUUCGAGUUGAAUUAAUUUGCUCCAAAUAUUUAUUUUUUAGUUGUAGGAAAAAAAAAAAAAAAGAGGAAAAACCAUAUGAGUAGAUAGAGCUUUCUCCCAAGCUAAUUAAACCAAGUUUUAUACGUGAUUCAACUAAGAUCAAGAAUGUCUAUCUCCUGUAUGUAGCUAAAGCACAUAGAAGGAUAAAUUACAAUGAGUACACACAAAAGAAGCAGCUCAAACUCAGACUUGUACAAGUUUGUCCAGACUAGCAUGAAACAACAAAGAGACUUAGAUUGAACAGAGUUUCAAUCUGGGAAGCAAUUCAACAAACCUAAAUCAUGGAGUAUUACAGUUUUGAUUCUUGACUGGAUGGCAUUACCAAAGCUUAUGGAAAUUAAAAGAUUGAUCUUUUCCACCUAGCAAGCUUCUCUCGUCCCUGCCAAGGAAUUAAAGAGUGCAAUUACUAUCAAAGGUCUUUGCUAUGUAUCAAGGUUAAUGGUGAUUAAACAGCCAAAACCAUAAAUAAAUGGACCACCAUAUCCAAAGCUCAAGUACAGCGUAAGAAGAAACGCAUAUAAGCCAAAGAGAUACUUUCAGCUUUUGGUGGGGAGGACUUCUAACAUUACUACAAUAAACAUAAACUGGACAUCAUCAAUUACAUCUCUUGUACCAAUGAGAGCCAUCUAUUGGGCAAUAUCAGACAUCGAUUAAUUCAAAUUAUCUCCAAAAGUUUUUUUUUUUUUUUUAACAGGAUUCUACCGGCUGUGAAAGGAAUCAGACAAUUAACAAAAAGCAGAUAAUAGCAAUAGAUGGUUUCUCUGUUUUGGAUCUCAGAUAUUCAGAUCAGAAUGUCCUAAUGUAACAGUGUUUAUUCAUAUGCAAUAGCCAAGUUCAUUUUCAAUGGGAUUUCCAUCAACUGAACCAAGACCAAAACUAACAUGACAAAUCUUACCAUGCGAGGUGAAACAACCAGUUCAUUUUCCACGAUAGAGGUAGCCUCGAACCCCAAUGGGUGCAGCACUUCUUCAUAACUGCAUCCACAGAUUUGUCAUCAGUUGCAUGCAGAACCAAAAAAUGAAUGUAAAUAAAAAAGUGAGUGCUUCUCCAUGUGUCAAUCUUUAAAAAGAAUAAAUAGAUUCUCAGAAGAGACGACAAGAUUGUUCUGAUUAUGAUAACUAAAAUUGGCACAUACUCAGUAGUAGAUACUUUGUAUGGAGGUCCCCCUUCAUGAUCACUAAUCUGUUGAAAGAGAAGAUAAAUAUAAUGAGAAUCUAAAAAAUUCAAGAACAACUAUUCAAAAAGCAAUGUUGACCAGAUUUAGUAGGAUAAAGCACAGAAUUUCCUCUAAAAUAACAUUGUGCAAAUAAGAUGUUGCUAACCUUCCUAUCAGGCAUGUUAGGCAUAUGAAACUAGAAGAUAACACACGAGCAAGAAUUCCAGUCAAUUGUCUAACCCACAUUCAACAAUAGAUCUAUCAACACAUAUAUUAUACUCUUACAAUAAUCGCACUACACAAAUUCCAGAUGCUAACAUGGUGAAAUCAUUUUCAGAGUAAAACACUGAGAAAGGCAAUUUGACGAGAUGAUAGCAUACUGGAAACAUCAGAGUUAUGAGCUCUCCAUCUGGUUUUAAAAGGUCUCGAAUUCUAACAGCCCAAGAUGGUCUCAUAUCUGGAUCGAUGGCACAAAAGAAUCUGCAAGCGAAUUCGUGCAAUAGUUAGCAAGCAAAAAUUUCUUCUCACAUGACAAUCAACUGAUGGUCAUCUAAUACUCACGUGUAGUCAAAAAUGAGAUCAAACAACUGAGUGGGACGCCAUGUGAAGAAGUCUGCCUUCAAGAAUUCAAAGUGUUCUUGGCUUGAUAAUGAGGACAACUGCCUUGAUGUGCCGCGUAAGCAAACAUUUCCACAACAAUAUGAGAAAAUGCAUAAUAAUAUGUAUAAAGUACUUAGAACAUGUUUUUCAUUCAGAAAAAAUCAAGUCUGAGAACUCGAAUCAAGGAAUCCUAGCAUUUCGUGUCCAAGGCAGUUGUUCCUCCAAGAAUAAAGAGGAUAAUUAUGGCAAGAGCCUAGAGUUUUAACGUUUCUGAACAAAUGUAUCAUAGUAAAUGACUCAAGAUGAGAACUAAUAUUAACAUUUAACACAUGUUAUGUGCAUUUAGUGACCAACAUUUAGCCAAUGCCCCUUGAUGCCUUAGCACUUCCUCAUUGACCAGCUAGAAAGUUGCCCAAACUUUUCAUAAAUGAAAAUACACUUCAGUGUGAGGGGACAAAAACGGCAUUCGGAAAAUAAG
This 17505-nucleotide long non-coding RNA is filed under the name Coffea arabica (coffee). RNAcentral describes it as "long non-coding RNA (CARA_LNC002376)". The record is from RNAcentral. Lineage: Eukaryota; Viridiplantae; Streptophyta; Magnoliopsida; Gentianales; Rubiaceae.